This 455-nucleotide ribosomal RNA is filed under the name Hallaxa iju. RNAcentral's name for it is "partial 16S ribosomal RNA". It matches the Rfam family "Bacterial large subunit ribosomal RNA", at positions 1824 to 2597 of the family's 2925-position model. Lineage: Eukaryota; Metazoa; Mollusca; Gastropoda; Nudibranchia; Actinocyclidae. The record is from RNAcentral.
AGCCUUGGGAAUGGAUCUUAGGUUAGACCUGCCCAAUGUAUUAAAUACCAUGAAAAUGGAUGAAUGGCCGCGGUACUUUGACCGUGCUAAGGUAGCGCAAUCAGUUGGCUUUUAAUUGGGGUCAGGAAUGAAUGGAGUCACGUGGUUUAGCUGUCUCUUUAUUAAUUUAUUGAAAUUACUCUUUAGGUGAAAAAGCCUAAAAUUAGAAGAAGGACGAGAAGACCCUUAGAGUUUUACUUAAAUUAAAUAUUUUUGUUUAAGCAGUUUAGUUGGGGCAACUUAGGAGCAAUAUUUUAAUCUCCUCAAUUUAAAACAAGCCGAUAUUUAUAAGUUUGGAUAAACUACCUUAGGGAUAACAGCAUAAUUUAUUAAAUAAGUUUGUGACCUCGAUGUUGGACUAGGAAACUGGAAGGCUAGCCGCCUUCCAGGUUGGUUCUGUUCGAACUAUUAUUCCU